UUUAGCCUUAGUGAUUAGAGGUAGAUCAACCAAACAAUGCUAAUGUUGUUAGCAGUGAGCGACUCCAUGAAAUGCCUGUAGCAUCCAUGCGAGACAAGGUGGAGGCACAUUACUGGAAGGGGAGUUGGUCAUGACUGGGCUUGCGGUGAGGGGUGUGAGAGGCCCUGUGUCCUGGGUGAGAUUAUCCCAGGCAGGCCAAGGGCCAGUGAGACAGUCUACAAGAACGAGGAAAUGAUUGGUGGACUGUGGAGAAAAUUUAGAUCCAUCUGCCACAAAUGAUGUCACAAAGGACACCUAUACCAUAGCGAU
Molecule: long non-coding RNA, 309 nt
Organism: Colossoma macropomum (tambaqui)
Lineage: Eukaryota; Metazoa; Chordata; Actinopteri; Characiformes; Serrasalmidae
Exons: 3
Source: RefSeq, a predicted model, not a curated record